UGCAAGUCGAGCGGUAACAUUGAUAGCUUGCUAUCAGAUGACGAGCGGCGGACGGGUGAGUAAUGCUUGGAAAUCUGCCUGAUAGAGGGGGACAACCACGGGAAACUGUGGCUAAUACCGCAUAAUCUAUACGUAGCAGAGUGGGGGACCUUCGGGCCUCACGCUAUCAGAUGAGUCCAAGUGGGAUUAGCUAGUUGGUGAGGUAAGAGCUCACCAAGGCGACGAUCUCUAGCUGGUUUGAGAGGAUGAUCAGCCACACUGGAACUGAGACACGGUCCAGACUCCUACGGGAGGCAGCAGUGGGGAAUAUUGCACAAUGGGCGCAAGCCUGAUGCAGCCAUGCCGCGUGUGUGAAGAAGGCCUUCGGGUUGUAAAGCACUUUCAGUCGCGAGGAAGGGCUAUUAGUUAAUAACUGAUAGCAUUGACGUUAACGACAGAAGAAGCACC
This 447-nucleotide ribosomal RNA is filed under the name uncultured Gammaproteobacteria bacterium. Its description in RNAcentral is "bacterial SSU rRNA". It matches the Rfam family "Bacterial small subunit ribosomal RNA", at positions 56 to 494 of the family's 1533-position model. The record is from RNAcentral. Lineage: Bacteria; Pseudomonadati; Pseudomonadota; Gammaproteobacteria.